This is a long non-coding RNA of Macadamia integrifolia, 835 nucleotides long. RefSeq lists it as uncharacterized. The transcript is spliced from 3 exons. Lineage: Eukaryota; Viridiplantae; Streptophyta; Magnoliopsida; Proteales; Proteaceae. The record is from RefSeq and is a predicted model, not a curated record.
AGGCACAACCAAAACUCUGCCCUGUUUUGGGGUUUGUUCCAGACGGUACCCACUAUGUUGUUUAAUAAUGUAGUGUUCAGGCUGAGAUAGCCAUCCUACCCACACCUUAUCCCAUCUUAUUAUCUUUUCUUUUGUUCCAAUUUUUGUGAGAGUGUUGUAUUACUUGUUUGAAGACCAGCAACCAAAUCUGAUUGUAAAAAAGAGUGAAGAAACAGUCCAUGACAGAAUCGAUUUCAGGAGCAGGAAGCUAGGGUUUUGAAGUCCAAUUGUGUGGCCAUAUCUCCCAAGUCUAAAGCCUGAUCAGCAAACCCUUUUGGGGUUUUUUUUAUCACCUUGAAAGAUAGACUCGACUAGCACUGGGGUCCAUCUGAGGUCUGGAACUUCUUCUACAGGAAAGAAGAGAGACUGAAUGACACUUUUUUUUUAUCAUAUGGUUUCUCUAAGCACAUCCUGGUUGCUGGACCUUUUGGUCUUAGGGAAUACUUGAGAGGCACUACUACAGGGAUUGUACAAGGAAUUGCAGGGAGUGUAGAAACAGGGGUGUGGUUGCAGAUGUCUAGACAGAAUAUCGACUGGUAGACUGGCUGAUGCAAGGAUGUAGUAAGGGGUGGCCGUGGGAGACUUAAAUUUCUUUAUGACAUUUCUUGUUUAGUGAAAUUAUUUUUAAGUAUUUAAAAAAAGUCUCAGUGUGCAACUCGGGCAAGAGUUGAAUGUCUAUCCUUUGUCAUAACUGAUGAUGUUCACAAAAUGCUCUAUUUUGUUCAUCUAUGGAAAGAAAAAUAGAUGAAAUUGAAUGAGUGAAGGUAAAACAUAUAUGAAACUCCUUUUUUUUUUU